This 882-nucleotide long non-coding RNA is filed under the name Homo sapiens (human). RNAcentral's name for it is "HSALNT0057903". The record is from RNAcentral. Lineage: Eukaryota; Metazoa; Chordata; Mammalia; Primates; Hominidae.
AGAUUUUCAUGACUACAGAGGAGUAACAAAUUAUAUGAACAGAUUAAAAAUACUCAAUUUUUAAAAUAUAAUUUCCAGUGAGGAAAACUGAGAAGUUUGUCUACAGUUCAGUCUCACUGUCACUACUUAUUUCACAGGUUUGCACAAAUUACGAUGGAAUAAAUUGCUGCAAAAGAGACCAUAGAGAACUUUCCAGAAUAUGGCACAGAGAAGGAGAUCCUAACAGAAAGCCACAAACUCACUGAGUAUGAAGAAAAGAGAUACUGUUUUUUCGAGGAUGAGGAAGAUUUAAGGGGCAGUUACUACAGAAGGAGUUGCAAAGUAAAAGCUCUGAAAAUGUGCUUAGGGCUAUAUUUAAGUAUUCGUUCUUUUAGUAAGCUGUGCUUAUAUAUGCUGAAACUCCAAAAAGGAUGGACUGAGAAUAGCUUAUAAAAGGCUGUGAAACUGAUACAGACAGGAGACAGGAAAAUACUGGGUAGAAGAGGGUUGUUCCCUGGCAAAGGCCCCACCCUCAAGCCUGAAUACCCGCAGCCCUAAAUUAAGACAGGCAUUCCUUUCUUUACACCCAAAAGUUGCCUUUAGGCCCACCACGCCCUUAUCCUCUACCCAAAUAAGCUUGAACCCCAUGCUCCAGAAGCAGACAAACAGACAAGGAGACAAGAAGACGAGCAGACGAACGGCAUACAGGUGUGGCAAAGAAGGAAAGAAGAGAAGGAGCAUAUGAAUGCCAAGAGGAAUUUGGCUGGGGACAAUUGGAAAGGAGAUCAGCCAGUGGAAGGCCAAACUCCAGGCGAAGACCAUCUUCCCACUCCAUCCCACCUCCAGCUCCCUAUCCAUCCCAUUAAGAGCCUCCUCCACCACUCAAUAAAACCCCCGCAUUCA